CAGCAGCCGCGGUAAAACGAAGGGGGCUAGCGUUACUCGGAAUUACUGGGCGUAAAGGGCGCGUAGGCGGCACGAUUAGUCAGGCGUGAAAUUCCUGGGCUCAACCUGGGGACUGCGCUUGAUACGGUCGAGCUAGAGGAUGGAAGAGGGUCGUGGAAUUCCCAGUGUAGAGGUGAAAUUCGUAGAUAUUGGGAAGAACACCGGUGGCGAAGGCGGCGACCUGGUCCAUUACUGACGCUGAGGCGCGACAGCGUGGGGAGCAAACAGGAUUAGAUACCCGAGUAGUCCCUGUCUCUUAUAC
This 301-nucleotide ribosomal RNA is filed under the name uncultured bacterium. RNAcentral describes it as "partial 16S ribosomal RNA". It matches the Rfam family "Bacterial small subunit ribosomal RNA", at positions 509 to 807 of the family's 1533-position model. The record is from RNAcentral.